GACGUAGGGUGCGAGCGUUGUCCGGAUUUAUUGGGCGUAAAGAGCUCGUAGGCGGCUCGUCGCGUCGACCGUGAAAACCCGCGGCUUAACUGCGGGCUUGCGGUUGAUACGGGCGGGCUAGAGUUCGGUAGGGGAGACUGGAAUUCCUGGUGUAGCGGUGGAAUGCGCAGAUAUCAGGAGGAACACCAACGGCGAAGGCAGCUCGCUGGGACGGUACUGACGCUGAGGCGCGAAAGCGUGGGGAGCGAACAGG
This 253-nucleotide ribosomal RNA is filed under the name uncultured bacterium. RNAcentral describes it as "partial 16S ribosomal RNA". It matches the Rfam family "Bacterial small subunit ribosomal RNA", at positions 524 to 776 of the family's 1533-position model. The record is from RNAcentral.